UACGUAGGGGGCUAGCGUUGUCCGGAAUCAUUGGGCGUAAAGCGCGUGUAGGCGGUCCGGUAAGUCCGCUGUGAAAGUCGAGGGCUCAACCCUCGAAUGCCGGUGGAUACUGUCGGGCUAGAGUACGGAAGAGGCGAGUGGAAUUCCUGGUGUAGCGGUGAAAUGCGCAGAUAUCAGGAGGAACACCAAUUGCGAAGGCAGCUCGCUGGGACGUCACUGACGCUGAGACGCGAAAGCGUGGGGAGCGAACAGG
This 253-nucleotide ribosomal RNA is filed under the name uncultured bacterium. RNAcentral describes it as "partial 16S ribosomal RNA". It matches the Rfam family "Bacterial small subunit ribosomal RNA", at positions 524 to 776 of the family's 1533-position model. The record is from RNAcentral.